This 1046-nucleotide long non-coding RNA is filed under the name Equus caballus (horse). RNAcentral describes it as "lncRNA (ENSECAG00000049776.1)". Lineage: Eukaryota; Metazoa; Chordata; Mammalia; Perissodactyla; Equidae. The record is from RNAcentral.
GUUUUUAUUAGGAGAGGUCAGUUAUUCCGAGGGGCAGAUUUUUCUAUCAACUGAUCAAGAAAUCUGCUGGAAGCUUUGCCAUCUUAGGAAUCCAGGUUGAAAGAAAACCAUGCAAAAUGCGGCUCUGGGAGAGUGAGUUCCUUUCUGAACAGGGCUGGCCCUGAUUUGACCCUGCCUCUCCAAGGUCCCAGCAACUCUUGGACGGAAAACCGAAAUGUUAUACAUAUUUGUCAUUCUAGUUUCCCAGCCUUUAAACAUCCUUCCCAUUUGGGGGGAACCCCAGAAUAGAGGGAAGGCAAGACCCCGAUUCCUACUUUAGAAGCCAAAGAGGGCAGAGAGUUUCUAUCUGUGCCCCAGAAACUAGGAAACCAGCACAUCACUUGGGCUCAGCCCAUCAGAGACCCCAUCAUGUCAUCUAGGACCUGAAGCCUGUGGGGAGGCAGAAGUCAUUUGCAGUGGCUGUGGUGGAUUUGAGUGCCCGCAAGCAUAGCAACCAAUGCCUGAUCAGAGCCCAGCAGCAUUAUGACACGUGUCCAGCAGUGACAGCAGCAGCGGCGCACCCUAAGUGGACUAUCCCUCUGGCAAGAUCUUGGCUGUGUCCUGCCUCCCUCAAUUUUUAUUCAUUUUCAUCACCUGGUUCUCUAGCCUUCCCACUGAUUCUGUGAGCUGCACAACACUCUUCCAAUAAGUUCACUUUCCGCUCAAGUCAACUAGGAGAGAUUUUGCUUGGUAGCAACCAAGAAUUCCGACUGGUCUGCCAACGUCCUCCCAUGGACACAUGAUCCAGUAACAAGAGCUGUCCGCACUCCAAGGACAGACACAGAGGACCUUAGAAGACAAGCGCUAUGGAACCCCAAGCAAACCAAGAUAACUGACUAGAAGUGGGAGGAACAACCGACGGCUUCUCCGCAGGCAGGUGGAUGUGUCCACUUAAGCACGAAUGAAAAGUAUAGAAACUUAAUGUUGAUUCUUUUUUAAAAAUAAAGUUUAUUUUGUUUUUCAGCUGAAAUAUAGAAAUAAUUCAUGUUCAUUGUUGAAGAUAUGGG